CCUACGGGAGGCAGCAGUGAGGAAUAUUGGUCAAUGGCCGAGAGGCUGAACCAGCCAAGUCGCGUGAGGGAUGACUGCCCUAUGGAUUGUAAACCUCUUUUGCCAGGGAGCAAAGUGACGCACGUGUGGGGGUUGGAGAGUACCCGGAGAAAAAGCAUCGGCUAACUCCGUGCCAGCAGCCGCGGUAAUACGGAGGAUGCGAGCGUUAUCCGGAUUUAUUGGGUUUAAAGGGUGCGUAGGCGGACGCUGAAGUCAGCGGUAAAAUCGUGGGGCUCAAACUCAUCCAGCCGUUGAAACUGGGUGCCUUGAGUGGGCGAGAAGUAGGCGGAAUGCGUGGUGUAGCGGUGAAAUGCAUAGAUAUCACGCAGAACUCCGAUUGCGAAGGCAGCGUACCGGCGCCCGACUGACGCUGAAGCACGAAGGCGUGGGUAUCGAACAGGAUUAGAUACCCGAGUAGUC
Molecule: ribosomal RNA, 459 nt
Filed under: uncultured bacterium
Lineage: Bacteria
Description: partial 16S ribosomal RNA
Rfam family: Bacterial small subunit ribosomal RNA
Source: RNAcentral